GUGAAAGACAGCUCGUGAUGCAGCUGGUAAGAGAGCCUACCAGGGAAGGAGCCCUGCUAGACCUGCUGCUCACAGAGAAGGACUGGUGGGAGAUGUGGAGGUCAGGAGCUGUCCUGGACAGAGUGACCACUGAAAGGUUCAUGGCUCAGGCAGCACCAAUACCUCUGGAAUUCAGAAUGUAUCCAUUCCAAUCUGGGGAGUGGGUCUAUCAAUGGACCUGGAGCUUCAAACCACUAGAGGAGAAAUGGAAAGGACUAUAUCAAAUAUUACUGACAAAGAACGAAGAAAGUGCCCAGCCCACAGCAGCAAGUGGAACAGACUGCACCAAUGAAACAGAAACCUUUGCAUAAACGAACAAAACUUA
This 364-nucleotide long non-coding RNA is filed under the name Gallus gallus (chicken). The record is from RNAcentral. Lineage: Eukaryota; Metazoa; Chordata; Aves; Galliformes; Phasianidae.